Molecule: ribosomal RNA, 492 nt
Filed under: uncultured bacterium
Lineage: Bacteria
Description: partial 16S ribosomal RNA
Rfam family: Bacterial small subunit ribosomal RNA
Source: RNAcentral
AGUGAACGCUGGCGGUACGCCUAACACAUGCAAGUCGAACGGCAGCACAGUAAGAGCUUGCUCUUACGGGUGGCGAGUGGCGGACGGGUGAGGAAUACAUCGGAAUCUACUUUUUCGUGGGGGAUAACGUAGGGAAACUUACGCUAAUACCGCAUACGACCUACGGGUGAAAGCAGGGGAUCUUCGGACCUUGCGCGAUUGAAUGAGCCGAUGUCGGAUUAGCUAGUUGGCGGGGUAAAGGCCCACCAAGGCGACGAUCCGUAGCUGGUCUGAGAGGAUGAUCAGCCACACUGGAACUGAGACACGGUCCAGACUCCUACGGGAGGCAGCAGUGGGGAAUAUUGGACAAUGGGCGCAGGCCUGAUCCAGCCAUACCGCGUGGGUGAAGAAGGCCUUCGGGUUGUAAAGCCCUUUUGUUGGGAAAGAAAAGCAGCAGGUUAAUACCCCGCUGUUCUGACGGUACCCAAAGAAUAAGCACCGGCUAACUUCGUG